Molecule: ribosomal RNA, 1228 nt
Filed under: Priestia megaterium
Lineage: Bacteria; Bacillati; Bacillota; Bacilli; Caryophanales; Bacillaceae
Description: bacterial SSU rRNA
Rfam family: Bacterial small subunit ribosomal RNA
Source: RNAcentral
GUGCAAUGGCGGGCUAUACUGCAGUCGAGCGAAUCUUUGGGGAGCUUGCUCCCUGAGAUUAGCGGCGGACGGGUGAGUAACACGUGGGCAACCUGCCUAUAAGACUGGGAUAACUUCGGGAAACCGGAGCUAAUACCGGAUACKUUCUUUUCUCGCAUGAGAGAAGAUGGAAAGACGGUUUACGCUGUCACUUAUAGAUGGGCCCGCGGCGCAUUAGCUAGUUGGUGAGGUAAUGGCUCACCAAGGCGACGAUGCGUAGCCGACCUGAGAGGGUGAUCGGCCACACUGGGACUGAGACACGGCCCAGACUCCUACGGGAGGCAGCAGUAGGGAAUCUUCCGCAAUGGACGAAAGUCUGACGGAGCAACGCCGCGUGAACRAAGAAGGCCUUCGGGUCGUAAAGUUCUGUUGUUAGGGAAGAACAAGUACCAGAGUAACUGCUGGUACCUUGACGGUACCUAACCAGAAAGCCACGGCUAACUACGUGCCAGCAGCCGCGGUAAUACGUAGGUGGCAAGCGUUGUCCGGAAUUAUUGGGCGUAAAGCGCGCGCAGGUGGUUCCUUAAGUCUGAUGUGAAAGCCCACGGCUCAACCGUGGAGGGUCAUUGGAAACUGGGGAACUUGAGUGCAGAAGAGGAAAGUGGAAUUCCAAGUGUAGCGGUGAAAUGCGUAGAGAUUUGGAGGAACACCAGUGGCGAAGGCGACUUUCUGGUCUGUAACUGACACUGAGGCGCGAAAGCGUGGGGAGCAAACAGGAUUAGAUACCCUGGUAGUCCACGCCGUAAACGAUGAGUGCUAGGUGUUAGAGGGUUUCCGCCCUUUAGUGCUGCAGCUAACGCAUUAUCACUCCGCCCUGGGGAGGACGGCCGCACGGCUGAAACUCAAGGAAUGACGGGGCCCGCCCAACCUUCGAUCAGUGUUUAAUUUCAAACGACGCGAAAACGUACCAAAUCUUGACAUCCUCUGACAACCCUAGAGAUAGGGCUUUCCCCUUCGGGGGACAGAGUGACAGGUGGUGCAUGGUUGUCGUCAGCUCGUGUCGUGAGAUGUUGGGUUAAGUCCCGCAACGAGCGCAACCCUUGAUCUUAGUUGCCAGCAUUCAUUUGGGCACUCUAAGGUGACUGCCGGUGACAACCGGAGGAAGGUGGGGAUGACGUCAAAUCAUCAUGCCCCUUAUGACCUGGGCUACACACGUGCUACAAUGGAUGGUACAAAGGGCUGCAAACCU